This 3172-nucleotide long non-coding RNA is filed under the name Salmo salar (Atlantic salmon). Its description in RNAcentral is "lncRNA (ENSSSAG00000107475.1)". Lineage: Eukaryota; Metazoa; Chordata; Actinopteri; Salmoniformes; Salmonidae. The record is from RNAcentral.
GGAAAGUGUGUUUACGUUCAAAGAGAGAGAAAAUAAAAACAUGGGAUCCCCUCGUGCAAGAGCCUCAGUCUGAUGGUCCUCUGAUCGGCCACUUACCAAAGGCGAUAAUGUUUUUCAGUCAGGGGCUGGAAUUACAUCAUUCAGCUUUUUCCCGGGUUCUGAGAGCCUAUGGGAGCCGUAGGAGGUGUCACGUUACAGCAAAGAUCCUCAGUUUUCAAUAAACAGAGCCAAGAAGCUCAAGGAAUGGUCAGAGAGGGCACUUCCUGUACAGACUCUUCUCAGGUUUUUGCCUGCCAUAUGAGUUCUGUUAUACUCACAGACACCAUUCAAACAGUUUUAGAAACUUUAGGGUGUUUUCUAUCCAAAGCCAAUAAUUAUAUGCAUAUUCUAGUUUCUGGGCAGUAGUAAUAACCAGAUUAAAUCGGGUACGUUUUUUAUCCGGCCGUGUAAAUACUGCCCCCUAGCCCUAACAGGUUAACCCUAGCCUUGCCCCGAACUGCCACUCUUAUGGGUCAGAAUAUAAUGAUGUAAUUACGUGUUGGAGGUCUCAGAUGGGAAGCUCCGCAUGGGUCGUUUAGGCUUCUCAGUGACGCACUUCUCCGACGCAACUCUCUGGUUGUCCUCACGAUGUCAGUGUCCUUUGGGCUUAGUGGUCUGAUUCCUCACCCUUUCUCUGAAAGGGGCCUUCUGAGGAUAGACAGCUCUGUAGCUCAGAGCUCACAGCGUAGGAAUUAAACAGUGUAGAUACCACAAUUCAGUGGAGAGUGGAGGCUAGGUGGUUCUGCUUGAAUUCACCCGCUUAGACACAGCUACUCAUCCAUAGCUUGGGUAGAAAAAUAUUUCUUUGUCUUCAACCUUGUGUGGCGUUGUGGAGUUCGUUGACCUUUUGGCUGCAGCCUGGGGUCACUUGGUCUCCUCUGUUCAUUCUUCACUCCCCUGUCUUAUACCUUCGGGUCAGAAGUGGGCAUAACCGCCUUUAGGGCAAUUCUCUGGGCGUACCAAGUUAUUAAGAGGCAAGGCCUAGAUUUUACUCAAAUUCAAUUUUAGACAACUAACUUCACAUUUCAUCUUUACCAAAACAUUCUCUUUGAUUUGGACAUUUUCCACACAAUGUACAAUGUAUAAACAUCAGGCAUAUACUGGGAAAACUCUUAAAGGUACAAUGUUUUCAUAAUAACGUCAUCUGUUAACCUUUAAUUACAAAACAAAAAUUACAUACAUUUUCAUAUUCCAUCUAUCGUCAUGACCACCAUUGUGGCUGACGGAAACCAUUGUUCCAAAGUCCCUUUAUUGCAUGUUUAAUGUUCUGAGGCUGGUUCUCCAUAGUGAGAGGACAAAGAAAUGUUGUCUGUGGCCUAAGAUUUAUCAUGGGCGUGAGGGGUCAUAAAACCCCCACAUCUUCAGACCCCUAGAUCUCUCCUCCUCUGUUGGGGGUUUGGGAGAUAAUCUGUAGGGUUGUGGUCUCCUGUAACCUGACCUGAUCAGGACAGUCAUGACAUUGUUUAACUGAAAUGGAUGAGUUUGGUCUACAGUAUAUAUGUUGCGUUUACACUGGCAACAUAAUUCUGAUCUUUUAUUCACUAAUUGGUAUUUUGACCAAUCAGUUCUGCUCUGAAAAGAAUCUGAUGUGACCAUUUUAGUGGAAAAAAGAUCAGAAUUUGUCUGUCUAAACGCAGCAUAGUGGUUCAUUGGAUGAAAAUAAUUAAUACACACUAAAGGUCUUCAUGGGUCCAACCGAAUACCCGGCCAAGACCCGAUCCGGGACCGAGUGUCCUGUUUGAUUGGUAUCGGCUCUAUGUAAUUAACUGAUAGACCCGAAUGGACCCAACCACGGCUCUACAUAGCCUAUAGCAUAUUUAUUUUAUGCUAAUAAAGGGAAUGUAUUGACUUUUCAAAGGCCUAGCCAACAUAUAAAGACCUAUUUGCUAACUAGAAGAGCAACUUGGCUGAUAAACAUCACUUUUCUUUUGUCUUUGGGUCCAUUCGGGUCCAGGUCCCCCUUUAAAAUAAAUAUCAGGUUCAGGUAUGAUUGGUGACCUCGGGUCCAGGUCUAACUUUCAGGUCCAGGUAUGAUUGGUGACCUCGGGUCCAGGUCUAACUUUCAGGUCCAGGUAUGAUUGGUGACCUCGGGUCCAGGUCUAACUUUCAGGGCCAAGAAGACCUCUAAACCUCAUUGGAGACAUUAACCACGUUUCCAUCCACAGUUUUUAUGCAAGUAAAGUCAUACGGUAUAAAAAAUUAAAUAAUGACAGUUGUGAUGGAAACAGGUCGUUUCAGGUACAAUUUUAUAAAAUAAUUAUAAGUACUGGUGGGAUCUUCUUGUGUCUGUAAAAUGUAUUAUGAAAACACCAUUAUAAGCAAAUAUUGAUAUAACCAUCAUAUCGAAGUCAAUUUUGGAGUCACGCGAUGACAUGGUGUGUGGUCCUCCCACUACGACUCAGGAAACCAUGCAGUUUAUUAGACUACAGAUGAAACAUGUUGUGUGGUCCUCCCACUACGACUCAGGAAACCAUGCAGUUUAUUAGACUACAGAUGAAACAUGUUGUGUGGUCCUCCCACUACGACUCAGGAAACCAUGCAGUUUAUUAGACUACAGAUGAAACAUGUUGUGUGGUCCUCCCACUACGACUCCAGAAACCAUGCAGUUUAUUAGACUACAGAUGAAACAUGUUGUGUGGUCCUCCCACUACGACUCAGGAAACCAUGCAGUUUAUUAGACUACAGAUGAAACAUGUUGUGUGGUCCUCCCACUACGACUCAGGAAACCAUGCAGUUUAUUAGACUACAGAUGAAACAUGUUGUGUGGUCCUCCCACUACGACUCAGGAAACCAUGCAGUUUAUUAGACUACAGAUGAAACAUGUUGUGUGGUCCUCCCACUACGACUCCAGAAACCAUGCAGUUUAUUAGACUACAGAUGAAACAUGUUGUGUGGUCCUCCCACUACGACUCAGGAAACCAUGCAGUUUAUUAGACUACAGAUGAAACAUGUUGUGUGGUCCUCCCACUACGACUCAGGAAACCAUGCGGUUUAUUAGACUACAGAUGAAACAUGUUGUGUGGUCCUCCCACUACGACUCAGGAAACCAUGCGGUUUAUUAGGCUACAGAUUAAAUCAAUUAUGAUCAGGUCUGUAACCAGAGUUUGAGGUUUAAAAAGUGACUCAUUAUGCA